AGAGUUUGAUCAUGGCUCAGAACGAACGCUGGCGGCGUGCCUAACACAUGCAAGUCGAACGUGAAAGUCCUUCGGGGCGAGUAAAGUGGCGCACGGGUGAGUAACGCGUAGAUAAUCUACCCGAUGAUCUGGGGAUAACAUUCCGAAAGGAGUGCUAAUACCGGAUAAGCCCACGAGAUCUUAGGAUCUUGCGGGAAAAGGGGGGGACCUUUUAGGCCUUCUGUCAUCGGAUGAGUCUGCGUACCAUUAGCUAGUUGGUGGGGUAAGAGCCCACCAAGGCGACGAUGGUUAGCUGGUCUGAGAGGAUGAUCAGCCACACUGGAACUGAGACACGGUCCAGACUCCUACGGGAGGCAGCAGUGGGGAAUUUUGCGCAAUGGGGGAAACCCUGACGCAGCAACGCCGCGUGAGUGAUGAAGGCCUUCGGGUCGUAAAGCUCUGUCAGUGGGAAAGAAAUGUAUUAUGGCUAAUAUCCAUGAUACUUGACGGUACCCACAAAGGAAGCACCGGCUAACUCCGUGCCAGCAGCCGCGGUAAUACGGAGGGUGCGAGCGUUGUUCGGAAUUAUUGGGCGUAAAGCGCGUGUAGGCGGUCUUUUAAGUCUGAUGUGAAAGCCCCGGGCUCAACCUGGGAAGUGCAUUGGAUACUGGGAGACUUGAAUACGGGAGAGGGCAGUGGAAUUCCUAGUGUAGGAGUGAAAUCCGUAGAUAUUAGGAGGAACACCGGUGGCGAAGGCGGCUGCCUGGACCGAUAUUGACGCUGAGACGCGAAAGCGUGGGGAGCAAACAGGAUUAGAUACCCUAGUAGUCC
This 810-nucleotide ribosomal RNA is filed under the name uncultured bacterium. RNAcentral describes it as "bacterial SSU rRNA". It matches the Rfam family "Bacterial small subunit ribosomal RNA", at positions 8 to 796 of the family's 1533-position model. The record is from RNAcentral.